This is a long non-coding RNA of Ornithodoros turicata, 813 nucleotides long. RefSeq lists it as uncharacterized. The transcript is spliced from 4 exons. The record is from RefSeq and is a predicted model, not a curated record. NCBI's taxonomy places the organism in Eukaryota, Metazoa, Arthropoda, Arachnida, Ixodida, Argasidae.
GAAAGGAGAGCCAUCCUGAAGGCUGUUGUGAGCAGUAGCUGAGCGAGCGGCGGAUUACGGCACUGGUCUACUGCAAGGAACGGCGACUUCCUUUUCUUGCUGGUUAUUCCGCCCAGGAGGAAUUCCAACUCUCAACAAUGCCAUGGACUAACCUGAGCCGGUGGCACUCCUGUAUGCUACUAUCGCAACCGCUCCCCAGCACCUCCAGAGUCCUCGGACGCCUGCUGGGCCUGAACAUGAUGGUAGUGACGCUUUCUAGCCAUAGCGACCAGGUCAGAAGACUUCCUUGUCGACAACGAUGCUUGCCUGAAAUGGCCGUCAGUCACCCACGAGGUCGUCCGGCUAGAUUACCGUUCGGAGCUCUUGGCUAACUCUCCUUCCGGUGACAUCUUUCACUUGCCAGACGUUUGGGGGCCGGCUCAUCCAGGGGACAUUAGCAGUCAUGGAAUUCCAGACCCCUGGACAGUACCGUGGACAAACAUGCGGCACAGAACCUACCACAGCAGAUGGCUUCCUCCGUACGCUGUCGCAAUAGCUCUGCAGCACCUCCACCGUUCUGACACCCACUGCCCCUGAACGUGACGAUCCCGACGCUUUCCAGCCAGUGACCGAAAUGUACGUAGGGUGCUGUCCGCACCGCGGUGUGACACCUUACACUUGCCAGACAUUUGAAAAGACAUGCAGUCUUCCUUUUCUACUGCGAAGGAACCUGAAGCUUGUUCUGCCGUAGCUCUGGUGGCUGGCAGCGGACAGGUUACGAAGCAGUGGUCUCCCACAGGAAACGGCGGUGUAUGCAAAUAAACUGUUGGUUUA